Molecule: unclassified non-coding RNA, 345 nt
Filed under: soil metagenome
Description: partial contains 5.8S ribosomal RNA, internal transcribed spacer 2, and large subunit ribosomal RNA
Rfam family: 5.8S ribosomal RNA (bases 1-120)
Source: RNAcentral
GAUGAAGAACGUAGCGAAAUGCGAUAAGUAAUGUGAAUUGCAGAAUUCCGUGAAUCAUCGAAUCUUUGAACGCACAUUGCGCCCUCUGGUAUUCCGGGGGGCAUGCCUGUCCGAGCGUCAUUUGCAACCCUCAAGCCCGGCUUGUGUGAUGGGUGCCGUCCCCUACGGGACGCGCCCCGAAGGCAAUGGCGGCGUCGCGGUUAUCCGAUCAGCCAAAGUGUAUGGGGCUUUGUCACUCACUUUACGGCCCGGACCGGCGCCAGUCCGAAUCAAUCUUUUUUCUAGAGUUGACCUCGGAUCAGGUAGGGAUACCCGCUGAACUUAAGCAUAUCAAUAAGCGGAGGA